ACACCGCGUGAAGGAUGAAGGUCUUCGGAUUGUAAACUCUUUAGACCUAGAUGAAGACUCAAGGGUGAACAAUCCUUGAGUUUGACCGUAUAGGUAGAAUAAGCCACGGCUAACUCUGUGCCAGCAGCCGCGGUAAUACAGAGGUGGCAAACGUUGUCCGGAUUUAUUGGGUGUAAAGGGCAUGUAGGUGGUCUGGUAAGUCAAAGGUGAAAUGGCUCGGCUCAACCGAGUCAUUGCCUUUGAAACUGCCGGACUCGAGUACGGAAGAGGAGAGCGGAAUUCCCAGUGUAGCGGUGAAAUGCGUAGAUAUUGGGAGGAACACCGGUGGCGAAAGCGGCUCUCUGGUCCGAAACUGACACUGAGAUGCGAAAGCCAGGGGAGCAAACGGGAUUAGAUACCCCGGCAGUCCUGGCCGUAAACGAUGAGAACUAGGUGUUAGAGGUAUCCACUCCUCUAGUGCCGCAGCUAACGCAUUAAGUUCUCCACCUGGGGACUACGACCGCAAGGUUG
Molecule: ribosomal RNA, 510 nt
Filed under: uncultured bacterium
Lineage: Bacteria
Description: bacterial SSU rRNA
Rfam family: Bacterial small subunit ribosomal RNA
Source: RNAcentral